UAAUAAACUAAAACUUUCAACAACGGAUCUCUUGGUUCUGGCAUCGAUGAAGAACGCAGCGAAAUGCGAUAAGUAAUGUGAAUUGCAGAAUUCAGUGAAUCAUCGAAUCUUUGAACGCACAUUGCGCCCCUUGGUAUUCCGAGGGGCAUGCCUGUUCGAGCGUCAUUUCAACCCUCAAGCUCUGCUUGGUAUUGGGCCCCGUCCUCC
This 207-nucleotide ribosomal RNA is filed under the name Neofusicoccum parvum. Its description in RNAcentral is "5.8S ribosomal RNA". The stretch from base 12 to 165 matches the Rfam family "5.8S ribosomal RNA". From Rfam's summary of the family: 5.8S ribosomal RNA (5.8S rRNA) is a component of the large subunit of the eukaryotic ribosome. The record is from RNAcentral. Lineage: Eukaryota; Fungi; Ascomycota; Dothideomycetes; Botryosphaeriales; Botryosphaeriaceae.